This is a long non-coding RNA of Hippopotamus amphibius kiboko, 207 nucleotides long. RefSeq lists it as uncharacterized. NCBI's taxonomy places the organism in Eukaryota, Metazoa, Chordata, Mammalia, Artiodactyla, Hippopotamidae. The transcript has 3 exons. The record is from RefSeq and is a predicted model, not a curated record.
AAACUCAUGUUUGUAACCGGUUGCUAGUGCAUAGAAAUUAGGUGAUGGUUAGGAGAGAUGAUCAUGUGUUUGCCUGUCCUGCUCCUGAAUUUGAAGGGAAUUCUCUCCCAUUUCGAGUCAGGAUUCUCAUCAUAUACUACGUUGCUUCCAGCCUCUGCUGCUGUUGAAAAGUCUGAAGCCGUUGUGAUAACCAUGGUAAUAUGUGAC